This 458-nucleotide ribosomal RNA is filed under the name Aspergillus flavus. RNAcentral's name for it is "eukaryotic LSU rRNA". The stretch from base 147 to 300 matches the Rfam family "5.8S ribosomal RNA". Lineage: Eukaryota; Fungi; Ascomycota; Eurotiomycetes; Eurotiales; Aspergillaceae. The record is from RNAcentral.
CCGUGUUUACUGUACCUUAGUUGCUUCGGCGGGCCCGCCAUUCGUGGCCGCCGGGGGCUCUCAGCCCCGGGCCCGCGCCCGCCGGAGACACCACGAACUCUGUCUGAUCUAGUGAAGUCUGAGUUGAUUGUAUCGCAAUCAGUUAAAACUUUCAACAAUGGAUCUCUUGGUUCCGGCAUCGAUGAAGAACGCAGCGAAAUGCGAUAACUAGUGUGAAUUGCAGAAUUCCGUGAAUCAUCGAGUCUUUGAACGCACAUUGCGCCCCCUGGUAUUCCGGGGGGCAUGCCUGUCCGAGCGUCAUUGCUGCCCAUCAAGCACGGCUUGUGUGUUGGGUCGUCGUCCCCUCUCCGGGGGGGACGGGCCCCAAAGGCAGCGGCGGCACCGCGUCCGAUCCUCGAGCGUAUGGGGCUUUGUCACCCGCUCUGUAGGCCCGGCCGGCGCUUGCCGAACGCAAAUCA